CGCGUCGAGUGCGGAUCCAGACCUGCUUCCUGGAUGACACACAGAGGCACAGCCCAACUCUUAGGACUUGCAGUGUGGAGGACUACGUAUCCAACAAAAGAACAUUUCAGAAAUGACUGGCCAGAACUGGACAGUGGUGCAAAAGAGUGACAUGCAAGACAUAAAAUAAGAAAGACAAGUGGAGUUCCCCAUAUCCAGAAGUGUUUUGAUUUUGGAUUAUUAUUAUUUUCAGAUUUUGGAACAUUAUGCUCUAUCUUGGGGUGCAUCUACACCAUGAAAAGUCAACUGGUGUAAUACGGAAACACAGGUUUUUAAGAAAACAAUUUACAUAUAAGUAUUAUGUUGAUAUUGUGUAUAUAUCAUAGGGGGUCCUUUUUGCAUAUCUAUUUUGGUGUUUUCUAGUUGUACUUCUGGAUUUUUCUUUUCCUAUGUUUACAGUACAGGAGUACUAAUGCACUGAGAAAUCCCGGCAGAGCCAAUGACACACAACAAACUAGAGACUUUCAUGUACUUUCGAAAUAUACUAAGAAGAACAAUACCGGAAAAAGGACUAUGUACCUAGGAUUACCUUGUUGUAUUUACUCUUGAACUACAAGAUGCCACCGUUAUUACCCUUGUUGAACUCUUGAAUACCACCUGUAUCAGUAUAGUGAAUAAAUACAGACUUUAAAUAAUC
Molecule: long non-coding RNA, 676 nt
Organism: Anolis carolinensis (green anole)
Lineage: Eukaryota; Metazoa; Chordata; Lepidosauria; Squamata; Anolidae
Exons: 2
Source: RefSeq, a predicted model, not a curated record